UACGAAGGGUGCAAGCGUUACUCGGAAUUACUGGGCGUAAAGCGUGCGUAGGCGGUUUGUUAAGUCUGUCGUGAAAGACCCGGGCUCAACCUGGGAAUGGCGAUGGAUACUGGCGAGCUAGAGUACGGUAGAGGAGAGUGGAAUUCCCGGUGUAGCAGUGAAAUGCGUAGAGAUCGGGAGGAACAUCAGUUGCGAAGGCGGCUCUCUGGACCAGUACUGACGCUGAGGCACGAAAGCGUGGGGAGCAAACAGG
This 253-nucleotide ribosomal RNA is filed under the name uncultured bacterium. Its description in RNAcentral is "partial 16S ribosomal RNA". It matches the Rfam family "Bacterial small subunit ribosomal RNA", at positions 524 to 776 of the family's 1533-position model. The record is from RNAcentral.